RNAcentral lists this unclassified non-coding RNA (851 nucleotides) under Bombus terrestris (buff-tailed bumblebee). RNAcentral's name for it is "misc RNA ENSBTSG00005034643.1". Lineage: Eukaryota; Metazoa; Arthropoda; Insecta; Hymenoptera; Apidae. The record is from RNAcentral.
UGACGGAUUCUGUCGAAGUGCAUGAAAACUGGUGGUACAAUGAAUGUUUACUCGCUUUUUCGCGCAACGGUCAUCCUCAUAUUGUACCGUUUAUUUGGUAGUUCUACCAUGUAAAACCAUUUAUAUUUGCAUAUGAUUAAUAUGUUUUACUUAUAACACUCUGUUGUUCCAUGUUAUUUCGCAAUUCAACUCGUCACCAAAUCCAUUCCUUUCCACAGAUCCGAAAUAUCCAACGAGUAACGAUCCUCCUAGUAACAACCCUUCGGAAAUUGCCACGCAACGAAUCACGAGGUUCGUAAAAUACGAGCUAACGGGAGAAAUUAACACGCGAGCAGAGUUGCAAGAAAUUACCAAGUCGAAUCCGAGUGGGAGAGUUAUUAGCGGCGGCGAAAUUACGAAUUCGAAAGAAAUCGUGAGAAUCGCGUGCCUUACUUCGAAAGACGUACCUGCCUAACAUCGUUGCGAGGAUAGAGAUCGGUGGUGGCGACGGCGGUGGCGAUCGUACGAUGGCCGUGGCGACGGUGUAGGUGGCAGAGGCAAUGGUAGUGGAGAAUCUAGCUGGCCGUGUCGGUGUAUCUAACGCGACGAAACAACGUUCCGAUUGGCAGUGUGCAUCGCGUAGCGAGCUUGCGCGCCGCAUUGCACGGCUGCAGUCGAGUCAUUAUGCAGGCCGUUAGUAGCGGGAUGAGAGUGCGAUCGCGAACAACCCGGAACGACGUGACGAUGCUUAAGGGUUAAGCCGGUUUUCAGGGGUGGACCGGUUCGACGGGGUUCGGCGAGCAUUUCCGCGUAACCGACCUCGACAAACCGAGCGAAACGAGGUCAGGAACGGCGCGUACGAGGAACGAGGG